This is a non-coding RNA of Danio rerio (zebrafish), 1231 nucleotides long. The record is from RefSeq and is a predicted model, not a curated record. Lineage: Eukaryota; Metazoa; Chordata; Actinopteri; Cypriniformes; Danionidae.
UUAAGGUCGCAGUUAGACUUUCAUUUCGACAACACACAUCAAGCAAAUUCAUGCCAAAAUCGAUUGUUACAACACCUUCUCUUAAUGUUUUGCCUUUCUGACCAGGGGGAAAUAUAGCACUUCCUUCAUGACACACACACACACACACACACACACACACACACACACACACACACCACUGUCACCUAAAAGCACAUUUCUGCUUUCACUGCUCUUUGCGCUCAUUUACAUUAAAGCCAGCUGCAAAAAAGUAUAUUUCCAAGCGCUUGGUGUUUUUGUUUUUAUGUAGGCGGCUGUUGGCACUGCAAGUGUGGCCAACAUGAAAUUCUUAAAGGGGACCCUAAUUGGAGUGAGACUUCAGCAUAGAGAUGCUCCUGUCGGAUAUUCACACAAUCGGCCACCUGCACACGACACAAAUUAUGUGGCCGUUCAAGACGACUUGUCAACGACUGUUCGGGACAUUUGUGAAAACAGGAGGACACCAAUGCAGCCAAACCGGCUCCCGUUCAUCACAGAGGGAAGUGAACACGCUGCGGGUCCCUGUAGGUGCUAACCAAACAUGAGUCUUUUCCUGAGCAGCACCUGGAGACUCAACAGACCCGGCGUUUGUGACACGCUGUUGCCCAUGGCUGCCUUCCAGCACUGCUUCUUCAGGGAUCCCAGCAUGUAGAACAACCGUCUCACAAUUUUCAGCCACGCGCCGCUUGAAACUUUAAUGCCGACACGAGGAGCGAGGCGUCCAGAAGCGAACAGGGAAUACGGACAGUAAUCCCAGCUCCUGUGAGUGUUGUACGGGACGCAUUGGAGGACGUGUAUGCAUUAGUAGUGCAACACAGGGAGUGAUGACUGCUUGACUUAAUUUCUCAUACUUUUUUGUGUUGUUUUGCCAGAUGACAAGUUUCAUACCAUCUGCUUGCUUUCCCCUGUUAAUAAGUUCUCCAGGCCAGCUGAGAGCCCUCUCAAUUAUUUAGUACUGCGGGGAAGCUGUCGGAUCCACGUCCAUGCUUCUGUGUCCAUCUCUGUGAGAAAAGGGGAAAACUCGAAGAGCAGGUGCCUCACACUAGUGGACAGAAAACACAAUAAUUAAAGCAUAUAAAUCAACAAUAUUCUUUGUUUAUAAAUUAUAACCUGUCAAUGUGAUCUUUAAAAUUUAGAAGUAUUCAGCUCUGAAAAUGUAAACACUUUAACACUAUUCUCUGGAAAUGCCAUAAAUUGGUGUGUUUUGGGUUAA